AUCAUGGCUCAGGAUGAACGCUAGCUACAGGCUUAACACAUGCAAGUCGAGGGGAAACGAUAUUGGAAGCUUGCUUCCGAUAGGCGUCGACCGGCGCACGGGUGAGUAACGCGUAUCCAACCUGCCCAUCACUUGGGAAUAACCUUGCGAAAGUAAGACUAAUGCCCAAUGACAUUUAUAGAAGGCAUCUGAAAUGAAUUAAAGAUUUAUCGGUGAUGGAUGGGGAUGCGUCUGAUUAGCUUGUUGGCGGGGUAACGGCCCACCAAGGCAACGAUCAGUAGGGGUUCUGAGAGGAAGGUCCCCCACAUUGGAACUGAGACACGGUCCAAACUCCUACGGGAGGCAGCAGUGAGGAAUAUUGGUCAAUGGGCGAGAGCCUGAACCAGCCAAGUAGCGUGCAGGACGACGGCCCUAUGGGUUGUAAACUGCUUUUAUAAGGGAAUAAAGUGAGUCUCGUGAGACUUUUUGCAUGUACCUUAUGAAUAAGGACCGGCUAAUUCCGUG
RNAcentral lists this ribosomal RNA (504 nucleotides) under uncultured bacterium. RNAcentral's name for it is "bacterial SSU rRNA". It matches the Rfam family "Bacterial small subunit ribosomal RNA", at positions 16 to 507 of the family's 1533-position model. The record is from RNAcentral.